RNAcentral lists this ribosomal RNA (646 nucleotides) under uncultured bacterium. Its description in RNAcentral is "bacterial SSU rRNA". It matches the Rfam family "Bacterial small subunit ribosomal RNA", at positions 69 to 750 of the family's 1533-position model. The record is from RNAcentral.
AUUAAGUUUUCGGAUGGAAUUGCUGAGUGGCGGACGGGUGAGUAACGCGUGGGUACCUACCUUGUACUGGGGGACAACAGUUAGAAAUGACUGCUAAUACCGCAUAAGAUCGCAUGAUAAAAACUCCGGUGGUACAAGAUGGACCCGCGUCUGAUUAGCUAGUUGGUAAGGUAACGGCUUACCAAGGCGACGAUCAGUAGCCGACCUGAGAGGGUGACCGGCCACAUUGGGACUGAGACACGGCCCAAACUCCUACGGGAGGCAGCAGUGGGGAAUAUUGCACAAUGGGCGAAGGCCUGAUGCAGCGACGCCGCGUGAGUGAAGAAGUAUUUCGGUAUGUAAAGCUCUAUCAGCAGGGAAGAAAAUGACGGUACCUGACUAAGAAGCCCCGGCUAACUACGUGCCAGCAGCCGCGGUAAUACGUAGGGGGCAAGCGUUAUCCGGAUUUACUGGGUGUAAAGGGAGCGUAGACGGUAAAGCAAGUCUGAAGUGAAAGCCCGCGGCUCAACUGCGGGACUGCUUUGGAAACUGUUUAACUGGAGUGUCGGAGAGGUAAGUGGAAUUCCUAGUGUAGCGGUGAAAUGCGUAGAUAUUAGGAGGAACACCAGUGGCGAAGGCGACUUACUGGACGAUAACUGACGUUGAG